CGGGCGGGUCGGACGCGUCGGGCGGGUCGCCCGCGUCGCCGCCGCUCACGCCGCCGCGCGCCGACACGCCGCCGCGCCGGCACAGACACCGCCGGCACCGACACGACACCCAAAAUGGUGGCAGCACACCACCAUCUCCAGAACCUACACAAGCGCACAGGCAUCAUAGUGCGACAAGUGCAGCUAAUGCUGGCGGUGGUGUGGGCGGGGCCGCGG
Long non-coding RNA from Colias croceus (clouded yellow), 216 nucleotides. RefSeq lists it as uncharacterized. The transcript has 3 exons. The record is from RefSeq and is a predicted model, not a curated record. NCBI's taxonomy places the organism in Eukaryota, Metazoa, Arthropoda, Insecta, Lepidoptera, Pieridae.